This 1015-nucleotide long non-coding RNA is filed under the name Mus musculus (house mouse). RNAcentral's name for it is "RIKEN cDNA 4930556N09 gene (4930556N09Rik)". Lineage: Eukaryota; Metazoa; Chordata; Mammalia; Rodentia; Muridae. The record is from RNAcentral.
AGUUCCGGGAUAGCCAUGGAGACGGAGAGUUGAAGUAAAAAGGUAGCAAAGACCAUGCUUCUUACUUUAUGCAUUGAGAGAGGAUCUCUGCUUGGAGCUGCACUCACCAAUUCAUCUCAAUUGGCGGGGUCAGUGAAUUCUAAAGACUGAUCUGUCUCUACCUCCCCAGGAGAAGACUACAAGUUCAGGCUUCAAAACCCAGCACUUUUACAUCUGUUCUGGUGACUGAACUUCUGUUCUGGUCCUUCUUGGGUGAGAGACUGAAUUUCUAUUUGCCUGUGAUGGAAUGUGUCUCUGUGUGCGGGGAAGCACCUCAUUGUCUAAUAAGCAGGAACGUCAGUGAUAGCACACUCAGAGUUGUCAGGGAAAAGGCACCGGAUUCUGCAAAUGGAAUCACGGUAACAAUUCCCUGGAAACCAAGGCCACACUGCUCUUUACUGCCAUCUUCUAGAGUCUGGUGGUUAGUCCGAAGUCAGAGGCAGAAAGAGUACACACUAAAGCUUGUCUAUAUGCCACAACUGGUGCAAGAGUGAUCUCCACCAUGGAGUGAAUAAUAUCAACAUCUAAUAAGGAAAUAUUUCCUAUGGGAAAUUUUCACUUGAAGAAUGGAUGCUGAAGUCACUCUUGGGAAUAACAGUCUGCCUGCUUGCAGGUCACACUACAACAUGGACACACAUCCUGGUUAAUGGAUGGGAUGUGUCUGUACGUUGGUAUUAGGCCCAUAGACAUCCUUCUGUUUAUAUAGCCACACAUGGAUUUUCAUGGUUGGUGAUUGCUCAAUGUGUCCUCUGCAUCCCUGUUGCCAAGUUCUUUAUGUAACUUCCCAUUCCACAACAGUGCUCCAAGGUAGGACAGAUAAACUUUUUCCUGCAAAGUGCCACAGACGACUAUUUCAGGCAGCAAGAGCCAUACGGCUGCUUUCUUCCAGUUAUAACACGAAAGGAGCAAAAAAGGCAGACAGAGAUAGUAUGCAAACAAAUGGGCAUGGCCACGUUCCAAUAAAACUUUAUUUAUC